AGUGUGGGUGAUGAAAACAUGACCUUAGGUUUGUCUUUUUGAGCCGUAUUGGUUCAAAGCUUUGACCUACCGAUGUUAGGACUUGUCAUAGUUACGCUGACACGCU
Molecule: small nucleolar RNA, 106 nt
Organism: Sebastes umbrosus (honeycomb rockfish)
Lineage: Eukaryota; Metazoa; Chordata; Actinopteri; Perciformes; Sebastidae
Product: small nucleolar RNA SNORD46
Exons: 1
Source: RefSeq, a predicted model, not a curated record